This 274-nucleotide long non-coding RNA is filed under the name Musa acuminata (dwarf banana). RNAcentral describes it as "long non-coding RNA (MACU_LNC008187)". The record is from RNAcentral. Lineage: Eukaryota; Viridiplantae; Streptophyta; Magnoliopsida; Zingiberales; Musaceae.
AUGCAUCGAGCUGGUUACUAGCCUUCGCCUGCUCUUUGCUCACACUUCUGAAGCACUUGAAGUGUUUGCACUCCUUGCGUUGAGUUAGCUACUGUGAUUCACCUUCUCAAUGCCAUCGAACUUCUGGAAUGCGAGAAGUUUUCACCCCGACUUGGAGUAAUUCUCUUAUAGGUUUGGUCGCCUCUGGGAUUGUACCGUCUUCUCCAUCAACCCUGUCGCCUACUCCACUGAGUAGCAAAGGUACAGCACCGUGUACUGCCUGCUUCGUUCCUUG